CCUUCCCUUUCUUUCUAUAGUCGCAGCAAUUUCGUCAUUCUUGGGAUUUCCUCGCUCGCCCACCUCUAGCAGUUGCGAGGUCGCCGCAGUUGCGUUUGGCCGCAUCUCGAUGUGAAGGAUUUCAGAGCCUUUGUUGAGCGAUUCGAGAUAUAUCCCUCCCCUCACCUCUGCCUCCUGCCGCUCGCCAUCUGACCUCAAGUUCGCCGUCAGAUUUGUGUAACCUUCUAUUGAUACUUCCCAUUUUUUUUUUUUUUUUGGCUUUGGGCUGUGUGUGUUUAUCAUCUGAAGCUUUGAGAUCGAGGGCCUUGUUGCUGCUGGAUACGGGAAUCCAGAUUGGAAGAGGACGCAUGAACCUGGUAGCCAGACAGCGGUAGUGGUGUUGUGGCUUCAAAAGAACGGGGCAACCUGUGUUGGGCGGAACAGUCCUGGAUGAAUUUGCAUUUGGUGCUACAGGAGAAAACUUGCUGAUAUCAAUGUUUUGGCUGGGGAAUUAAUGUUUCUAUCACCACUGUAAUGUUCAUGCAAUGAUACGAAGCUAAGGCUCUAGAGAUCUAUCAGGCCUCAGAUGCUGAUAUCAAGAUUGUCUCAACAAACUUGGUUGGUUCAUUAAUCCAUAUGAAGUAAUUCAUCUCAUGGAGUUUGAGACAAAGGAGGGCAAAGGGAAGAAAUCAUAGACAUGCAUGCUACUAGCAAGAGG
Molecule: long non-coding RNA, 697 nt
Organism: Zingiber officinale
Lineage: Eukaryota; Viridiplantae; Streptophyta; Magnoliopsida; Zingiberales; Zingiberaceae
Exons: 3
Source: RefSeq, a predicted model, not a curated record